Molecule: unclassified non-coding RNA, 353 nt
Filed under: uncultured fungus
Lineage: Eukaryota; Fungi
Description: sequence contains ITS1
Rfam family: 5.8S ribosomal RNA (bases 1-105)
Source: RNAcentral
GAAGUGCGAUAAGCAAUGCGAAUUGCAGAAUUCCGCGAAUCAUCAGAUCUUUGAACGCAAAUGGCGCCAGAGGGAUAUCCUUCCGGCAUGUCUCUUUCAGUGUCUGAGAGGUUUCACCACUAUCUUAAUGUGAUUGAUGAAUGGGUUGCUCCUAGAGUAGUCUAACCUCAUCUCUCAUGAAAGAUGCUCGAGUGGAUCUUUUGGUCCAAUGAAGUGGUCACAUCACUCGCAUGUGAUUUCAUUGGGAUCACCAAAUUAUCCGCAUGCUCGAGGUACACUCUCUUUUUGGGUAACACCAAAAAGACACUCCACACCCUGCAUCUGAGACAGGCAAGAACACCCGCUGAACUUAA